AAAAAAAACAAGGAAAGGCGGGGCUGGCUGGAGGGUGUCAGUAUCCACUCCCUUCCCACAGGUGGGGGUAGGACACCUGCGCCCCCCAGGCCCUGAGCUAGGAGCAGCAGAGUCUUGGCUGAGAGAAUUGGGGCUGCCACUGCCGUCCAUGCGCUCCCGCUCACUGGCGCCAGUCACAUGACCAAAGGCAGAGCCAGCCCUUCCCGCCCUGUGCUGUCCCAAUUAGUGCCGCGGGGUUACCUUUCUGCAUUAGUCAGCCACUGUUUCAGGCCUCUCCUUGGAGCUGAAGAGCUAGGAGGGUGCAGCCAUUUGGGGGUCACGCAGCCCUUCGCUGCACCUGUUAUGCCCCCCUUGCCCUCGUCUGCUUUUCCAUCCACACCCCCUCACCCCUGACCCUGUGGCCAGCAGCCUUCAUUGCUGUCAUCUGUUGUCAUGGGAACCACGCGGCUGUGACCUGGCACAGGCAGGAGCAGACCCAGAGCUCCUCGCAGGGGAUGCUGAGGGUAGCUGGGGGCGCCAACCUGCCCCUCGGCUGGGUGCUAAUGCACCCCCCCCAGGGAUGCCGAAGCCCACGUGGGGAGGAUGACACAGAUGGGGGGUGGUCUGGAGUGCAAGGGGUCAAGGCCUAACUGCCCCCAGCCCCUGAAGUCCCUGUCCCUUUCCAGGCCCACCUGCCUAACCCAGCUCCAGGCUGCUGGUGGUGGGGAGGGGUGGUGGGUACCUUUCCAUUUCCCUCACUGCCAAUGGGAGCGCAGAGCCCUGAGCUCAGCUCAUUCUCCAGGCUAAAAAUACCAGGGAGGCAGCAGCAGCAGCUCCCCCAAAACCCUGGCCACCGCCUCCCCUCUCCAGCGCACACACACACACACACACAGACCCAGCCUGGACCAGACACUAAGGUGCUGCUCACCCACCCACACCAUGGUCCAGGAAGGGUCUUGAAAUCCCACCACUGAGACCCAGAUCCAAGUCCUGCCACCUCUGACCCCAAUUUGCUGUGUGAUCCUGGGGUAGUCCUUUGGUUUUUCCUCUCUGGGUAACAUGGGUAUUACCUGGCUGCCCCCACCUCAUUUAAUAAGUGUAGCAGCCCUACCAGCCCCCUGAAGUAUGCACCAGUCACAGCUGCUUUUCCAGACAAGCUCACUGAGGCCGGCGCGGGCAGGGUGCUGAAGAGCCGCUAACCUGGACUUCGGUUCCAGCCUGGAACUCUCUUGCCCUGCAGUGGUCAGGUGAGCUCCGGGAGCUCCAGGUGCUGUUGAAAAAUAGACCUGUGCCCCGUGGCGGGGCAGGGUUCCUGGUCUGUGAGCUGGACUGAGAAGGGGGUGGGGAGUCCACACUGCCCUCCCCCCAGGGUCUGGUUGGGCUUGCGGGGUGUGCCUGCACCAUGGUCUGUCAGAGGGCUGGCCAGGGUGGGGCUGAGGGUCUGUCCUGCCCACCCUGGGUGUGGCCGAGGCUCAGACAAGCAGUUAGCAGAGGCUUGGGGUGAAUGUCCAUGUUGCUCAUGUACCUGGCACUGAGCAAGGCGAGGGUUAGCAGCCAGCUGCCCAACUCUGAAGGCAGCUGCGGGGUUCACUGUGACCCUGCAGCUGAGGUCAAGGUGACUGUGCCCCUGUCCAUCUGCCCUGGCCCACGUCUCCUUUCCACCAGCCCUGGGUUCCAGAGUUCCUCGUCGCUUUCCUAUUCUCUCUUAGGAACCCGAAUUAUCUAGUUUCAUUUGAGAACUGUGCGGGGGCAGGAUCCUCCCAGGGUACCAGGAAAAAUCCACCACUGGGCACUGGGCGCCACACCCUCAGGGGCUCCGUCACUGAGUGCCCACCCUUCUCCCCACCAGCCCUGCCACCCACUUCCACUGACAGUUUGAGACCCCCAGGGCUCACCUCCCCUCGCACCAACGUUUGGAGCUGGCCAGGAUAUGGAUUUUCUGAGGGGCCACCCUAACCUGCUUUCAGGCACACGCGCUAAGUAAGCAAUGCCAGCUCUUCCCGGAGGUAGGGAGGUAGCCGUGUGACCCUGGGUCGGACACUUCGUCUUCCUGGGUCAGUUUUUCUAUCUGUAGAGCAGGUGUUCAACAGCACCUCGCUACAAGGGUUGUGUGAGGUUUCAAUGAGACAUCCCCACUCUUCCUGGAGGCUGGCAGCGAAGAGGCAUGCUCCGAGAGAACGCGGGGCCGUUUGUUCCUGAACUGAGUGCCCGGAGCUGCCUGAGUCGCUGGGUGGCGGAGCCCGAGACGGCAGCUGGAGUCCCCAGCUCUGUGCACCCCAGGUCUCCCAAAGACAGGCCAUGGCCCUGAGUUUUAUGAACGUGCUUUCAGCCCAUGAAUGAGCGCCGUCACGCAAGGCAUUAAUACACUGCACCACACGGGUGGGGAAGAUGAAACGGCUAUUAGGAGAUUAGAAGUGAAGCUGAUGCCCACCUCUCGGUGCUGUUACCUCUUAGGAAAAUUACGAGAGGCAGCCCAGGGGGAGGAUGGUCCUAGGGUUCUGGUGGGGUGGGGAAGGGGCUACCUCCUGGAGCCCCAUUUGGUCUUUGGAAGAGGCAGGCCCCGGGGCGAGGGGUCUUCGAUCCUGGGCUGUGGAGUGGGUGCUGGGACCAGACGCUGGGCAUGGGCCUGGGUUCUGCCUCCUGUGGGUCCCUGGGUCAGGACCUUCCGCUUGCCAAGCCCCUGAGUUUGCGCAUCUGCAAAGGCAGGCUAAUAACAGAAGCUCCCCGGGCCCAGGCAGGGAUCCAGGGAGAUGACUUCCAGAAAGCACCCAGCCAGGGCCUGGCGCAUAGUAGGUGUUCAUUCUGUAGCCAGGAUUGGUAGCAACAUCAUCCCCGCCAUGUCUCCCUGUGAGGAUUUCACGGCCAGCUGCCCUUUCUUAGGCUGCCCGUGUGCGGUGUGCACCUGGGGUAGGGACGGGGAUCCCGUUCUGUAAGAUGAGAAAAGCCAGGCCCAGCCAAGGGGCCAGGGUCACACAUCACUCCAAGGUGGGGGCGGGGGCGGUCAGGAACAGCGCUCCCCACACAGUGCAGUGCCUACCAGGCUGAAGAGGUGUCAUGGCCUCCUCCCUUUCCCCUGCACCUGCCCCUGCUGGGCCCCAGGUGAACUCCGGAGAGCUAAGGCCCGCGCGGCGCUCUAAUCAGAGCGAGGCCGCAGAGCAGCACGGGGAGCGGGGAUGGGCUCGGCAGGUAGCAGGGCCGGCGCAGCCGCAGGGAGGCUGCGAAGCCGGCGGCCAGGCCGGCGGUGGGCUGCGGAGGGUGCGCGCUGAGGGGGCGGGAGAGCACGGCGCGGCCGUCCUGGAGAGCCCCGGGGACUUCUGUGUCCGUGCCCACACCCGGAGCUGAUGAUCCUUACCUGGGCCUGCCUCCGGUACCGCCAGCUCUUGAAGAGAGGAGGGCUGGAGCGUGUGGCUGGAAGCUUAGCUUUGGCCUCGGGCAGCCUGGGUCCCAGUUCCAGCCCAUCUGGGUGAGCUUUGAACCAGCCGCUCCUCCUUUUCCUUUCAAGUUCUGGCCUCUCUGCUUCUGAUCCAGAUUCCUGCUGAUGAGCCUAGGAAGGCAAGACAACCCAAGUGCUUGGACCCCUGCCACCCACUUGGGAGUCCCAGAUGCAGGACCUGGCUCCUGGCUUUGUCCUUGCCUAGCCCCAGCUGUCCUGAACAUUUGGGGAGUGAGCCAGUAGAUGGAAGCUCUCUCUCUGUAUCUGUCCCUUCCUCUGUCACUCUGCCUUCCAAAACAUGGAGUCAGUCGGGGGUGGUGCUGUGGAGCAGUGGGCGAAGCUGCCACUUGGAAUGCCAGCAUCCAGUAGCACAGCACUGGUUCCAGUCUGCUCCACUUCCAGUCCAGUUUGUUCCCUGCUAGUGCGCCUGGGAGAGCAGCUGAAGAUGGUCCAGUGCUCAGAUCCCUGCCACCCACCAGGAAGUCCCGGAUGGAUCUGGCACAGCCCGGGGCAUUGCAGCCAUUGGGGAGUGAAUCUGCAGAUGGAAGAUGUCUUUCUCUCUCUCUCUUCUUUUUCUCUGUAAAUCUGCCUUUCACAUAAAUACAUCUUUUUUUUU
Long non-coding RNA from Oryctolagus cuniculus (rabbit), 4028 nucleotides. RefSeq lists it as uncharacterized. The record is from RefSeq and is a predicted model, not a curated record. Lineage: Eukaryota; Metazoa; Chordata; Mammalia; Lagomorpha; Leporidae.